UAAUACUAUCAGUAAUUCCCUAAGGCAUGC
RNAcentral lists this non-coding RNA (30 nucleotides) under Mus musculus (house mouse). Lineage: Eukaryota; Metazoa; Chordata; Mammalia; Rodentia; Muridae. The record is from RNAcentral.